CAGGGAUACGUGAAAAUGAAGCAAAUGAGGAAAGACCCAUUCACAUUCCUCCAAAAGGUCUGUGGCUCACUGGAAUCAUGUUACUGGCUCCUGGUAGUCCCUGACUUUACCUGUUUGUUCCAGGAACUUGCUUUAUGGCCAUUUGUUCUAAUGAUCAGUUUGGACAACCAACCUUUAUUCCUCCACCUCAGACAAUAUUCAACAUCCUGUAAUCAU
RNAcentral lists this long non-coding RNA (216 nucleotides) under Homo sapiens (human). RNAcentral's name for it is "HSALNT0112394". The record is from RNAcentral. Lineage: Eukaryota; Metazoa; Chordata; Mammalia; Primates; Hominidae.